This 206-nucleotide ribosomal RNA is filed under the name uncultured bacterium. Its description in RNAcentral is "partial 16S ribosomal RNA". It matches the Rfam family "Bacterial small subunit ribosomal RNA", at positions 568 to 774 of the family's 1533-position model. The record is from RNAcentral.
CGCGUAGGCGGUUUGUUAAGUCGGUUGUGAAAGCCCGGGGCUCAACCCCGGAGAGUCGACCGAUACUGGCAAACUAGAGUACAGAAGAGGUAGCUGGAAUUCCUGGUGUAGCGGUGAAAUGCGUAGAUAUCAGGAGGAACACCUGAGGCGAAGGCGGGCUACUGGGCUGAUACUGACGCUGAUGCGCGAAAGCCAGGGAGCAAACG